UCCCCGUUUAAGCGAGGCAGUCUGUCCAGAGUGCUCCCUUCUCUCGAAGGAGUGGCAACAGGACAUAGGGGUUGCGCUCGUUGCGGCACUUAAGCCAACACCUCACGGCACGAGCUGACGACAGCCAUGCAGCACCUGUGCUAGCCCCUUACGGACACGGGCUUUCACCCGCUUUAACUAGCAUGUCAAACCCAGGUAAGGUUCUUCGCGUUGCAUCGAAUUAAGCCACAUGCUCCGCCGCUUGUGCGGGUCCCCGUCAAUUCCUUUGAGUUUUAGCCUUGCGGCCGUACUCCCCAGGCGGAGUGCUUAAUGCGUUAGCGCCGGCACGGGAGGAGUCGACACCGCCCACACCUAGCGCCCAACGUUUACAGCGUGGACUAC
Molecule: unclassified non-coding RNA, 381 nt
Filed under: uncultured Actinomycetes bacterium
Lineage: Bacteria; Bacillati; Actinomycetota; Actinomycetes
Description: uncultured actinobacterium contains 16S-23S intergenic spacer region
Source: RNAcentral